AUGAAUAAGGGUAACUUUAAAGAGUUGUUGGACUUGUUCAUAAAGAAAGACCCAAAGGUGGCAAAAUUAUUUGGGGAUGCGGGAGAUAACCAUAAGUUGACAUCACAUAAGAUACAAAAGGAUUUAUGCAAGGCUUGUGCAAAAGAGACCACCAGUGCCAUUCUUGAGGAGAUUGGAGAUAGUAAAUUUGCAUUACUUGUUGAUGAGUCCAGAUAUGCAUCUAUGAAGGAGCAAAUGGCUAUGUGUUUGAGGUAUCUCGGCAAACGAGGGGAGGUGAUUGAGAGAUUCAUGGCAGUUAAACAUGUUCCUGACACUAAAGCAACUUCACUGAAGGUAGCUCUGGAUGGUAUGUUUGGUAAUCUUGGCUUAUCUAUGUCUAAUUUGAGAGGGCAGGGUUAUGAUGGGGCUUCAAACAUGAGAGGGGAAUUUCGUGGGUUGCAAAGAUUGAUCUUGGCGGAAAAUCGUUAUGCUCAUUAUAUACAUUGUUUUGCCCACCAAUUACAAUUAGUGGUUGUUGCUGUUGCCAAGUGUUGUUCAUCAGUAAGGGAUUUUUUUGAGUACACAAGCAUGGUUGUUAACAUUGUUAAUGCUUCUUGUAAAAGACAUGAUCAAUUAGCCCAAGAGCAACAUGAUGAAAUAGUACGCCAAAUAGAGUCCGGGGAACUUCUUGAGGGAAAAGGGAAAAACCAAUUAACUAACCUUGCAAGACCUGGUGAUACACGGUGGGGAUCACAUCAUAAAACAUUGUGUCGUCUUGUUGAGAUGUGGAAACCAGUUCUAAAGGUAUUAGAAAAUUUACACAAUGAUGUAGAUAAUGUUGCCCAAAGAACCACAACCGCGGGGUUGAUAAAGCACAUGGAGUCUUUCGAAUUUGUUCUCAUAUUGCAUCUGAUGAUUAGAUUAUUGGGCAAGACUAACAAUCUGUCACAAUGCUUGCAAUUGAAAAAUCAAAAUAUUGUACGUGUUGUGGGAUUGAUUAAAACCAUAUUGGAGGAUAUUCAAGAGAUAAGGCAUAACGGUUGGGAUGAGCUCUUCAAAGAGGUAACAGACUUUUGUGUCAAAUACAACAUUGUAGUGGCAAAUAUGGAAGAUACAAGAACUGCUAAUGGCCGUUCAAGGUCUUGGGGCGGGCAAUUGUUGAACAACCGCUUUGCUGAAAGGUCUACUCAAUCGUUGAGAUGCAUUGCUUGUCUUGAUCCCAAGAAUUCAUUUGCCAAUUAUAAUGAAGACAAGCUAGUAGAUCUUGCUAAUAUGUAUGCUGCUGAGUUCUCCACAUAUGAAGUUACUUUUGUCCUUAGAAACCAACUAGACUCAUUCAUUCGGGAAGCAAGAGGUGAUCCACAUUUGAUGAAUUGCAAUGAUCUUGGUCAUCUUGCCAUGAAUAUGGUUAAAAGUGAUAUGCACACAACUUUUCCCUUAGUUUACCAUCUGGUUGAGUUAGCAUUGAUUUUACCUGUUGCAACCGCAACCGUGGAAAGGGCAUUCUCAGCAAUGAGCAUUAUCAAGACCGGAUUGAGGAACAAAAUGGGUGAUGAUUGGAUGAAUCAUAGAAUGGUAUGUUACAUUGAGAGAGAUGUAUUUGUUACUAUAGAAGAAUCCAAAAUCAUUGAGCGAUUUCAAGGCUAUCGCACAAGUAAAUGUGUUUUGCCUCGUCCUACACGUUUAACAAUGUCUGCUAUUGAAGAUGUAGUCAUGGGAGGCUCAGAUCAACCAAUCAUUUGA
RNAcentral lists this ribosomal RNA (1722 nucleotides) under Triticum aestivum (bread wheat). RNAcentral's name for it is "partial small subunit ribosomal RNA". Lineage: Eukaryota; Viridiplantae; Streptophyta; Magnoliopsida; Poales; Poaceae. The record is from RNAcentral.